RNAcentral lists this ribosomal RNA (490 nucleotides) under uncultured bacterium. Its description in RNAcentral is "bacterial SSU rRNA". It matches the Rfam family "Bacterial small subunit ribosomal RNA", at positions 29 to 509 of the family's 1533-position model. The record is from RNAcentral.
AGUGAUCGCUGGCGGCGUGCUUAACACAUGCAAGUCGAGCGGAUUCUUACAGCGUAUCGUAAGAGUUAGCGGCAGACGGGUGAGUAAUACUUGGGCAAUCUGCCCUCGAGUGGGAAACAACCGGCCGAAAGGCUGGCUAAUGUCCCAUAAGACCACGGGAUGGCAUCAUCCAGGGGUCAAAGCUCCGCAAGGGGCGCUUGAGGAGGAGCCCGAGUCCUANCAGCUAGUUGGUGAGGUAACGGCUCACCAAGGCUUUGACGGGUAGCCGGCCUGAAAGGGUGAUCGGCCACACUGGCACUGAGACACGGGCCAGACUCCUACGGGAGGCAGCAGUAAGGAAUAUUGGUCAAUGGACGCAAGUCUGAACCAGCCAUGCCGCGUGAAGGAUGAAGGUCCUCUGGAUUGUAAACUUCUUUUAUGUGGGACGAAAUGCAUUCUUUCUAGAGUGUUUGACGGUACCAUAGGAAUAAGCACCGGCUAACUCCGUGCC